This 253-nucleotide ribosomal RNA is filed under the name uncultured bacterium. RNAcentral describes it as "partial 16S ribosomal RNA". It matches the Rfam family "Bacterial small subunit ribosomal RNA", at positions 524 to 776 of the family's 1533-position model. The record is from RNAcentral.
UACGUAGGGUGCGAGCGUUGUCCGGAUUCAUUGGGCGUAAAGGGUGCGUAGGCGGUGCGGCAAGUCGGGUGUGAAAUCUCGGGGCUUAACUCCGAAACUGCAUUCGAUACUGCCGUGCUUGAGGACUGGAGAGGAGACUGGAAUUUACGGUGUAGCGGUGAAAUGCGUAGAUAUCGGAAGGAAGACCAGUGGCGAAGGCGGGUCUCUGGACAGUUCCUGACGCUGAGGCACGAAGGCCAGGGGAGCAAACGGG